Molecule: transfer RNA, 68 nt
Filed under: Laomedia healyi
Lineage: Eukaryota; Metazoa; Arthropoda; Malacostraca; Decapoda; Laomediidae
Description: tRNA-Ser
Rfam family: tRNA
About the family: Transfer RNA (tRNA) molecules are approximately 80 nucleotides in length. Their secondary structure includes four short double-helical elements and three loops (D, anti-codon, and T loops).
Source: RNAcentral
GAUAGUUUAGUUUAGAUAAAACAAGUGUUUUGAAAACAUUAGACAAGUGAGAUCCCACUUAACUAUCA